UGGUGAAUCAUUUUCNGAGGACAGCCUAC
RNAcentral lists this non-coding RNA (29 nucleotides) under Mus musculus (house mouse). The record is from RNAcentral. Lineage: Eukaryota; Metazoa; Chordata; Mammalia; Rodentia; Muridae.